CAGGGUACCUUUUGACUCUUCUUAGUUCAACCAAAUGAACUAAAAUUUAAAAAUGACAUAACUUUUUAUAAAACUAGUUUAUUUGUUUGAACUAAGAAGUGUCAAAGAAUACCCUG
Molecule: non-coding RNA, 116 nt
Organism: Brachypodium distachyon (stiff brome)
Lineage: Eukaryota; Viridiplantae; Streptophyta; Magnoliopsida; Poales; Poaceae
Source: Rfam